RNAcentral lists this long non-coding RNA (1308 nucleotides) under Equus caballus (horse). RNAcentral's name for it is "lncRNA (ENSECAG00000058643.1)". The record is from RNAcentral. Lineage: Eukaryota; Metazoa; Chordata; Mammalia; Perissodactyla; Equidae.
AGGUGAAUAAAAUCUUGUUUUAAGGCUGAACAAGCAGGUUAACCUUAUCAAGGAUGAUCUUGAAUUCCAGUGGCCACAGUGGAGAACUUUUAACCUAGACAAGCUUAUCCAUUUACAGGUGCCCUAGAGAAAAAGGGAUCUCACUAUAAAGGGUAGAGGGAAAUUAUUUUUCCUUAUUGACAACUUCUUGUGACCAGUAUGAGACCCACUAAGACACCCUGUUUGCUCCAGAGCGUGCAGAUGGGAUCCUGGGAAAACUGGCAGAAGCUGGCAAAAGGGUCAGCUAUUGCCUUCUUGUUUGCCUUGCUUUGUGUCCUGAGAACUUGGCUUGGGUUUCUGCCUGAUUGAGGCAUGCAGGUUCUUGCGUGUGCAGGCAGCUCAAAUGUCAGGUUGGGGGUCCCAAAAAUACAGCCGGACAGAAAUGUGGAGGUGGAGGCCAAGAGAGGAAUCAAGGAGAAGAAUUAGAAGGCCUCCAGCAGAAUCUAAACCAAAAACUCCUCCAACAAGGGUAAACCUGACCAACUAGUCAUUAAAUCCCUGGUGGCCUGUGACUUUCCUUGGCCAAUAGAAUGUGGUCUCAAGAAGCAUUACUUGCUUCCACUCUCUUCCCUGGAACACUGCCAAGCCUCCAAAUGAACAUUUCCAACCUAGCCUGUCAGAAGAUGGAAGAUACUUGGCCUGGUUACUCACAUUGCCACAGCCAACAGCUAGUCAAACACCAGGCAUGUGUGCAAUGCCAGAUUAGAUAGUCAGCUCAGGCAACCUUACAACUGAUCUCAGACACAUAAGAAAGCCUGAGAUCAACCAAGCCUGGCCUAGAUGGGCAGACCCAUAGACUCAUCAGUGAUAUUAAUGAUUGUUUUAAGGCUUGGAAAAUUUGAGCCCAUAGAUUGUCCCCUUGCUUUUGUAAAUAAAGUUUUAUUAGAACACUGCCACACCCAUUUGUUUAUGUAUUGUCUGCAGCUGCUUUCAUGCUACAACAGUAGCAUCAACCAAUGGCAAUAGAGACCUUAAUGACCUACAAAGCCAAAAAUAUCAUCUGGCCAUUUAUAGAAAAGGUUUGCUGACCCCUAUUUUAAGCCACUACAUUUUGAGGUGGAUUGUUAACCAAGAACAUGUGAAUAUAUCCUUUUGGCAAAAUAUUUCCAGAAAUGUUUGCUUUCAUUAAAUACAGUAUCCUAUUGUAUUGUUAUUUCUAAUUUAUAAUAAUUUCUAGACCUUCUAAGUUUUACAACUACUUGUUAAACAAAUAUUUAAUUAUUGAGUAUCCAAUAUAAGCCAUCACUCCACUAGGUGCUAGCGAUAUAG